AUAGCGCAGCCAUGCGGUCGCUCCAUAGAUCGAGGCGCCGCCGGACUUGUUGGCGAAC
RNAcentral lists this small RNA (58 nucleotides) under Sinorhizobium meliloti 2011. RNAcentral's name for it is "putative ncRNA". The record is from RNAcentral. Lineage: Bacteria; Pseudomonadati; Pseudomonadota; Alphaproteobacteria; Hyphomicrobiales; Rhizobiaceae.